GGUGGCAUAAAUGUUUCCCCACUCCACCAGGAGCAAGGAGACCUCAGACCCUUCUCCAGCCCCUGGACACAGCCUGGCAGUGCUAACAACCUCUCCUACUCCCAGCCAGAGAUCCCAAAAAAAUGGAAUAACCCCUUCAAGGCUCUUCCAAGGCUCUUUCUCUUGAUGGAAAAACACUGCUUGGCUCAAUUUUGCAUCAGCACAACUCUUCCCCAGCACAUCCUUUGGCACAGCAGCUGCUGUUGUUACCCUCUGCUCCAGAGCUGAGCUGCAGCACCUACCGAGGAGCCUUUUCCCAGCUCAGACAAGGGCAGCAGGCAAUUGGGAUUUGAAGACACUGGCAAAGACAAAAGCAGCCCACAAGUAGCCGGUAGAAAGCCCUACAACAGCGCAGCAAACAUUUCCUAAUUUACUGCAAUGCCAGAAGAUGAGUCACCCCAGUGUUCCUGUUGCAUAAUCUUCCCCAAAGCUCAGGAGAGUGAAACCAGAGAAGCAAAGAGGAGCCGGUGUGAGCAGCACAGGAGUCCUCCACACCUCAGCAACUUUGUGCUUUCUGUUCCACCAGAGUGAACCAGGUCUGGACGAGCCAUCUGCAUCCAAGCAUGGAUCAAACGGAUCAAACAAUCCAGGGCUCGACCUCGAGGAGGAGAGAGGGAGAUCCCCAGGUGAUCAACAACAGCUGCUGGAGAGAG
Molecule: long non-coding RNA, 692 nt
Organism: Vidua chalybeata
Lineage: Eukaryota; Metazoa; Chordata; Aves; Passeriformes; Viduidae
Exons: 5
Source: RefSeq, a predicted model, not a curated record